GACGAACGCUGGCGGCGUGCUUAACACAUGCAAGUCGAACGGAAAGGCCCUGCUUGCAGGGUACUCGAGUGGCGAACGGGUGAGUAACACGUGGGUGAUCUGCCCCGCACUUCGGGAUAAGCCUGGGAAACUGGGUCUAAUACCGGAUAGGACCAUGAUUCGGUUCAUGGUGGAAAGUUUUUUCGGUGUGGGAUGAGCUCGCGGCCUAUCAGCUUGUUGGUGGGGUAAUGGCCUACCAAGGCGUCGACGGGUAGCCGGCCUGAGAGGGUGGACGGCCACAUUGGGACUGAGAUACGGCCCAGACUCCUACGGGAGGCAGCAGUGGGGAAUAUUGCACAAUGGGCGGAAGCCUGAUGCAGCGACGCCGCGUGGGGGAUGAAGGCCUUCGGGUUGUAAACUCCUUUCGCCAGGGACGAAGCCCUUUGGGGUGACGGUACCUGGAUAAGAAGCACCGGCUAACUACGUGCCAGCAGCCGCCGUAA
Molecule: ribosomal RNA, 482 nt
Filed under: uncultured bacterium
Lineage: Bacteria
Description: partial 16S ribosomal RNA
Rfam family: Bacterial small subunit ribosomal RNA
Source: RNAcentral